AAGCAACCCAGAGCCCUCCUCCCGCCUGCUCUGUGUAGGAGACAGCCUGCGGAGCCCACUGCCGGCGCGCAGAGAGCCCAGCAGCUCUUGAGUCCAGGAAGCAAGGGUGGGAGGAGGGACGAGCCAGUGGCAAUGACCCAGACCCGGACGACCCCCAUUGCUGAGCCAGCGGAGCUGCUUGCCUGGAGUGCGAUGGCACAAUCUCAGCUCACUGCAACAUCCGCCUCCUGGGUUCAAGCAAUUCUCCUGCCUCAACCCCCCGAGUAGCUGGGAUUACAGGCACACGCCACCAUGCCCAGCUAAUUUUGUAUUUUUAGUAGAGACGGGGUUUUUCUCCAUGUUGGUCAUGUGUCCGGAAUUGAUGGGUUCUUGGUCUCACUGACUUCGAGAAUGAAGCGCGGACCCUCACGGGUCCACGAGGCUGGUGUCAGACCUAUUGGGAGACCCUCUGCGUUAGUGAGAAAAACGGCAAGAAAUGGGAGCACGCGGAAACCUCCAAGACUAGAGCCACCAGAUGCCACCGACAGCACGCAGCUGGACCAGCACGGGGGAGGGCCUUCGUGGGUCGAGAGCUCGCUCGGGAGAUAGUUGGUGCUUUUCUUUCAGGAGAAGAAUCCCUGGCGGAGUCUGACCGUUCUCUGGCGCACAGCCCCGGGGGUGGGCACAGCAGCCGCCCCUGCUGAAGGGACUGACGCCUCCGACGACCAGCAGCCAAGUUAAACGCACUGUUCCGUGAGCAGCUUUGUUGGAGACAGCGCGGUUCACAUUCUCUUCCAACGGAGCCGCUGACUGCGGAGCUGGGAGGGGACGUGACAGAACCCAGCCAUCCAACGUCCCCCCACCCCUCCCCAGCUGGGACCUCCGGCUGCUUCCGGGCUGCGCUGGGUGGCGUCAAGGAGCCGCCCCUCUGGGCCGCGUCCCUCCCUCACGCCCUGCACACUGGCCCUGUGUGGCCGGCGGGGCGCCUAAAAGGGCGGAAGGAUGCAGGGGCGGAGGGGGCUCGGGAUUGCACGCCUAGCUCAGACCCCCCAGCCAGGACCCCUCGCGCUGUUGGACACGCCAGCCUCCCGACCCUGCGGCUCCUACGGGAGGUGACAAGGACCCUGCCAACCUGGCCUGAAUGGCCCAGUUUGAUACAGAUCAGGUUUUCAAUGAAUGAGACCGCGGUGUGGUCUAGGCGGAGGGAUGAGAGGAGGGGAUUCUGCUGGGAUAAGUGGGGGCGGGGUAAGGAGGGGAUUCUUUUCCUGGGCUGAGGAGAACGCAGGGACAAAGUACACAGGGGUAGUUGAGUGAGCAGGUGAGGCCCUAGGCUGGUUCCCCACCUUCUCAGGAUCGGAGCCACUCACUUCCUGGUACUCUCUGCAGUCUCCUGGCGUUAAAUAACAUCCCUUUGCUGGAGACUCUGGAUUCACAUCCAUAAUCGCAGCCUCCCCUACUCAUCCCCUCACGCUUCCCAUGAACUAACCUUGAAGGACCCGACCAGAGCCCUGACCUCCGUCCCACACACCUGCUACAUGGAAGGUGUUCUCCACAUCAGUUCAAGGCAGUGUCACUCUUCAGGAUGUUCAGGCUCUAAACCUUGGACUCCUCCUCCAGAUUUCUCUCUCCUUCCUUCUCCUUGUCUCUCCCUUGCACUUACGGUUCACUUUUCCUUCGUAGCUUUGUAGCUCAUUCCCCCUUCCACUUUCCACACCACCUUCUGGUCUGUUAAUUAAAUAUUACCUGGUUUCCACUGACACCUUCCCUGGGUUCCCAAUUGAAAAUCACAACAUCAUCCUCCUCCUCUGCUUUUUUUCUCCAAAUUAUAUCCUCACCCAAUUAUGUGUUAUUCUCAUUAAUCUUGCUUAAUUAAUUAGCAGACAUUAUUAAUGCCUGUUUCCCCUAUCACCACCACUAGACUAUGAACUCCUAAGGACUCCUUCCUUCCACCACUGUUGUACUCGCUUCACCUAGAACUGCUUGGCACAUACAAUGUGCUCCAUAAAUAUUUGUUGAAUGAAAGACUAGACACAACUUAGGAUUCACUCCCCCAUGUGGCAUCCAUAAGCCCUGUAUGCAGGUAAAAUGUCAGUGGGUUGACUAAAUACUGGAAGUGGAAAAAACUUCACCUCUUUGGUUUGCAGUUGUCUAGGAUAUUUAGGCCAAUGGAAAAUCCAGUUUUCCUUAGAAUUAAGCCAGUGCCGCCAGACUUGCCAGUUUACCAUGCUUGUCUGACUGGUCCUCAGCAUGGGUCAUACGUGUCCAAUGAAUUCAAACAAAAUCUUGAGAAGACACGAACCUUGCCCUUCGGCUGGGCGCGGUGGCUCACGCCUGUAAUCCCAGCACUUUGGGAGGCCGAGGCAGGCGGAUCACGAGGUCAGGAGAUCGAGACCAUCCUGGCUAACAUGGUGAAACCCCGUCUCUACUAAAAAUACAAAAAAUUAGCCGAGCGUGGUGGCGGGCGCCUGUAGUCCCAGCUACUCAGGAGGCUGAGGCAGGAGAAUGGCGUGAACCCGGGAGGCGGAGCUUGCAGUGAGUGAGCCGAGAUCGCACCCCUGCACUCCAGCCUGGGCGACAGAGCGAGACUCCGUAAAAAAACAAAAAAAAAACCUUGCCCUUCAUUCCCCAUUUCUAUCAUAAUCUACACAGAGUUUUGAACAGGCAUUUUAAAAUCAACAAUAUAUUAUUUACAAUUUUGUUAGUAUACAUAACUCUAACUCACUGUUAAAAAUCACCUGUCUUUAUAUCCAUUAAAUGACACUUGCAUAUGCUCCAA
This 2755-nucleotide long non-coding RNA is filed under the name Homo sapiens (human). RNAcentral's name for it is "KHDC1 antisense RNA 1, transcript variant 25 (KHDC1-AS1)". The record is from RNAcentral. Lineage: Eukaryota; Metazoa; Chordata; Mammalia; Primates; Hominidae.